RNAcentral lists this transfer RNA (74 nucleotides) under Pelecanus crispus (Dalmatian pelican). It matches the Rfam family "tRNA". From Rfam's summary of the family: Transfer RNA (tRNA) molecules are approximately 80 nucleotides in length. Their secondary structure includes four short double-helical elements and three loops (D, anti-codon, and T loops). The record is from Rfam by way of RNAcentral. Lineage: Eukaryota; Metazoa; Chordata; Aves; Pelecaniformes; Pelecanidae.
GCCCGGUUAGCUCAGUUGGUUAGAGCGUGGUGCUAAUAAUGCCAAGGUCACUGGUUCAAUCCCUGCUCACUGCA